AUGAUCGAAAGGCACAGCUGCUCAGACGUUGCCAUCACCCUUAAUUUCCAAAACCAACGAGGCAAAAUCAUUAUUCCGUAUAGUAGGAAUGCAAAAUUGAUCUUCUUAGUACGUGGAACAACAAAAAUCAUACGACCUGGACAGAAAGAGUACAAAACGACCUCUCAUACGCGCUCAGAGAACGUUGGAGGCUUCGGUAGCGUCGGCCUCGUCGGGUGUAGCAGCGCCGCCACGAAUCAUCUCGUCGAAGAAAUCGGUCAGGGCGAUCUCGUACCCAUGCAGCUUGUCGAACCCGGGGAAGUAGUUGAUGUCGAUGAUGAAGUACUGCCCGCCGGCCUUCCUCCCGCGUAUCAUGUCGAAGUUGAACAGCUGCAGCCCGAGCGCGCGCCGCAGCCCGCGCCCGACCUCCUCCACGAACCCGGGCGGCGGCAUCUCGGCGUCGUCGCCCACGUCGUCGUCCGUGUCGGCGUGCACCGUCGUCAGGCUGGACACGUUGUGGAAGGGCACCGACGCGUCGCCCUCCAGGUCCAGCAGCCGCUCCGCCGGCACGUCCGGCAGGCUGCGCCGCCGCACGCACGUGGCGUGCCCGCCGAUCACGUAAAUCUUGAACAGCACGCCGCCGUGGUUCACGAACUCCUGGAGCACGAGCGGGGGCUGCAGCGCCGCGAGGCCCGCGCGGCGGUAGAUGAGAGACAUGGCGUGGGAGCUGACGCUGCCGUCCACGUCCAGCGGCUUGGCGAUGAGCGGGAACUGGAGCGCGCCCACGACGUCCGGGUCGGUGAGCAACGCGGCGUCGUCGAUGGCCACCUGGCGGGGCGCGCCCAGGGAGCCCACGCGGACGGUGGCGUUGAGCUCGGAGACGACGUCGAGCAUGGAGCCGCGGUCGAGCAGGCGGCCGAUGGCGGCGGGAGGGUCGACGACGGGCACCGUGGGGUGGACCGCGGAGAAGGCCUCCAGCUGCGCGCGCCACGACUCGUCGUACAGCUUGUGGAUGAGGAGGUGGAAGGGUCCCUGGUCGACGAGCGGGCGGGAGGGGUCGACGGCGACGAGCCGCAUGCCGCGCUCGGCUGCCAGGGCCACGAGCGACGGCUGGAUGACGGUGUCCAGCUUGGCCGGCUGCAUCGCGUAGCCGAUGGUGUAGGUGUGCGGCGGAGAUCGUGUCGGCGCCGGUGCCUCCUGCUCGGCCGCCAUUCCUCCCAUGAGCUAGCAAGCUUAUCUACACUCUGCUCUGCUCUCUGUCUUUCUUGA
RNAcentral lists this ribosomal RNA (1248 nucleotides) under Triticum aestivum (bread wheat). Its description in RNAcentral is "partial small subunit ribosomal RNA". Lineage: Eukaryota; Viridiplantae; Streptophyta; Magnoliopsida; Poales; Poaceae. The record is from RNAcentral.